CAAUAGCGUAUAUUAAAGUUGUUGCAGUUAAAAGCUCGUAGUUGGAUUUCUGGUGGGAGCGAUCGGUCUGGCGCUUAGCGCGAGUACUUGCAUCGUCUCCGGCCAUCCUUGGGGAGAGUCUGUCUGGCAUUAGGUUGUCGGGCAGAGGAUCCUCAUCGUUUACUGUGAAAAAAUUAGAGUGUUCAAAGCAGGCUUAUGCCGUUGAAUAUGUUAGCAUGGAAUAAUAAGAUAGGACUUUGGUACUAUUUUGUUGGUUUGCGCACCAAAGUAAUGAUUAAUAGGGACAGUUGGGGGUAUUCGUAUUCCGUUGUCAGAGGUGAAAUUCUUGGAUUUACGGAAGACGAACUACUGCGAAAGCAUUUACCAAGGAUGUUUUCAUUAA
Molecule: ribosomal RNA, 382 nt
Filed under: uncultured eukaryote
Lineage: Eukaryota
Description: partial 18S ribosomal RNA
Rfam family: Eukaryotic small subunit ribosomal RNA
Source: RNAcentral